Molecule: ribosomal RNA, 492 nt
Filed under: uncultured bacterium
Lineage: Bacteria
Description: partial 16S ribosomal RNA
Rfam family: Bacterial small subunit ribosomal RNA
Source: RNAcentral
AGUGAACGCUGGCGGUAGGCCUAACACAUGCAAGUCGAACGGCAGCACAGUAAGAGCUUGCUCAUACGGGUGGAGAGUGGCGGACGGGUGAGGAAUAUAUCGGAAUCUACUUAUUCGUGGGGGAUAACGUAGGGAAACUUACGCUAACAAAGCAUAUGACGUACGGGUGAAAGCAGGGGAUCUUCGGAGCAUGUGCGAGUGAAAGAGCCGAUGUAGGAGUAGAUAGUUGGCGGGGUAAAGGCCCACAAAGGCCACGAUCCGUAGCUGGUCUGAGAGGAUGGUCCGCCACACUGGAACUGAGACACGUUCCAGACUCCUACGGUAGGCAGCAGUGGGGAAUCUUACGCAAUGGGCGCAAGCCUGAUCCAGCCAUACCGCGUGGGUUAUGAAGGCCUUCGGGUUGUAAAGCCCUUUUGUUGGGAAAGAAAAGCAGCUGUUUUAUCCCCCGCUAUUCUGACGGUACCCAAAGAAUAAGCACCGGCUAACUUCGUG